Molecule: ribosomal RNA, 1481 nt
Filed under: Lacticaseibacillus casei
Lineage: Bacteria; Bacillati; Bacillota; Bacilli; Lactobacillales; Lactobacillaceae
Description: bacterial SSU rRNA
Rfam family: Bacterial small subunit ribosomal RNA
Source: RNAcentral
GCUGGCGGCGUGCCUAAUACAUGCAAGUCGAACGAGUUCUCGUUGAUGAUCGGUGCUUGCACCGAGAUUCAACAUGGAACGAGUGGCGGACGGGUGAGUAACACGUGGGUAACCUGCCCUUAAGUGGGGGAUAACAUUUGGAAACAGAUGCUAAUACCGCAUAGAUCCAAGAACCGCAUGGUUCUUGGCUGAAAGAUGGCGUAAGCUAUCGCUUUUGGAUGGACCCGCGGCGUAUUAGCUAGUUGGUGAGGUAAUGGCUCACCAAGGCGAUGAUACGUAGCCGAACUGAGAGGUUGAUCGGCCACAUUGGGACUGAGACACGGCCCAAACUCCUACGGGAGGCAGCAGUAGGGAAUCUUCCACAAUGGACGCAAGUCUGAUGGAGCAACGCCGCGUGAGUGAAGAAGGCUUUCGGGUCGUAAAACUCUGUUGUUGGAGAAGAAUGGUCGGCAGAGUAACUGUUGUCGGCGUGACGGUAUCCAACCAGAAAGCCACGGCUAACUACGUGCCAGCAGCCGCGGUAAUACGUAGGUGGCAAGCGUUAUCCGGAUUUAUUGGGCGUAAAGCGAGCGCAGGCGGUUUUUUAAGUCUGAUGUGAAAGCCCUCGGCUUAACCGAGGAAGCGCAUCGGAAACUGGGAAACUUGAGUGCAGAAGAGGACAGUGGAACUCCAUGUGUAGCGGUGAAAUGCGUAGAUAUAUGGAAGAACACCAGUGGCGAAGGCGGCUGUCUGGUCUGUAACUGACGCUGAGGCUCGAAAGCAUGGGUAGCGAACAGGAUUAGAUACCCUGGUAGUCCAUGCCGUAAACGAUGAAUGCUAGGUGUUGGAGGGUUUCCGCCCUUCAGUGCCGCAGCUAACGCAUUAAGCAUUCCGCCUGGGGAGUACGACCGCAAGGUUGAAACUCAAAGGAAUUGACGGGGGCCCGCACAAGCGGUGGAGCAUGUGGUUUAAUUCGAAGCAACGCGAAGAACCUUACCAGGUCUUGACAUCUUUUGAUCACCUGAGAGAUCAGGUUUCCCCUUCGGGGGCAAAAUGACAGGUGGUGCAUGGUUGUCGUCAGCUCGUGUCGUGAGAUGUUGGGUUAAGUCCCGCAACGAGCGCAACCCUUAUGACUAGUUGCCAGCAUUUAGUUGGGCACUCUAGUAAGACUGCCGGUGACAAACCGGAGGAAGGUGGGGAUGACGUCAAAUCAUCAUGCCCCUUAUGACCUGGGCUACACACGUGCUACAAUGGAUGGUACAACGAGUUGCGAGACCGCGAGGUCAAGCUAAUCUCUUAAAGCCAUUCUCAGUUCGGACUGUAGGCUGCAACUCGCCUACACGAAGUCGGAAUCGCUAGUAAUCGCGGAUCAGCACGCCGCGGUGAAUACGUUCCCGGGCCUUGUACACACCGCCCGUCACACCAUGAGAGUUUGUAACACCCGAAGCCGGUGGCGUAACCCUUUUAGGGAGCGAGCCGUCUAAGGUGGGACAAAUGAUUAG